Molecule: long non-coding RNA, 423 nt
Organism: Herpailurus yagouaroundi (jaguarundi)
Lineage: Eukaryota; Metazoa; Chordata; Mammalia; Carnivora; Felidae
Exons: 3
Source: RefSeq, a predicted model, not a curated record
CUGGUAGCGUGCAGGCAGCUGGGCUGAGGAAGGUUCUGGAAAUAAUUCUGCAGGAGUCUCUGAGCCCAGGAGGAAGCCGACUCUCUACUCCCUCCAGCAGGACUUGGAUGACAGAAUCCAAGGUUUUCAGGACUGGAAGAAGCCCUGACAACCCUCUCGGGCUGAGAAGAGUGCAGUCAUGUAGCAGGAGGGUGAAGAGGACAGCGAGCCAGGGUGGUCUCCACAAAGCACCGCCUGUGAAGGGGCUGGCACAGAAGACAGAGUAUGCUGACCUGGGCCCCACUGGUUUCUUGGAACAACUGCUCUGUACUCUUUGGGCAAGAUGGAGAAGCCAGGGCUGAGUCUACCGACAGGCCCCUGUCUAGAAGGAAAACAUCAACAACCAAAAUUACAGUUAGGAAGAACUGCUUCCAUCUGCAAGUA